GCAGUACCCAAGCUUCACAGCCCUGUCUCUGCCAUGGAGAGCAGGCCCACACACUGCUGCCUGCUGGAGCAACCGUGCUGGUCACAGGGCCAGAGGCAGAGAGCCCUAACAAGCAGUCAGGGCGCUAAUGAGGAAGGGGGGACAACCUGUCCUCUACAGAAAAUAAUGAGAUUAAUAUGUUCAACAACUCCCAUCCAGAAUCCAGCAGGAAGUUAAACCAAACGACACAUGAUUCUCUGACGAAGAAAUAAGAAUACGGUUGACUGGUUUUUUAUAUUUAUUUACCUGAAAGCUUCUAAUGUUUCUAACUAGUGACAUAUUUCAGGCCAGGAAUUCUGUUUGCCUAGAUCAUGAUGUCUAAACACUGCACACUUGACCAACUUUGGAUCCAAAUAACUAGCUUUGUAUGCUCUUGGGCCCUGCAGUACGGCUCUGCUUCAGUGGUUUCCAGCCCUGAUAGGCACUAGGAUUACCAGAGGAAUUUUUAAAAUACCAAUGGGGGUUGGGGAUUCCCGUCAUCAGUGCUAAAGGCUACCAGGUGAAUGUAAUGUGUAGCCGGGGUUUGGAACCAGUGGGUCAGACAUCAAUCCUGACAGUACCACGGAGGCAGACUGUUCCCCAGGCCAGAUCUCUCAGCAGCUUGACAGCGCUUUAAAGAAAUCAUGCACUCGAUUAAGAUGAAGGGAUCACUAUUUCUGCAUGCUCUAAACAGAAAGAUAAAUAAGCUGCCCAAGAGGUGCUCAGCCAAAACCUGGGAACGGCUUAUAGAGGGCACAGUUCCCACAGUCAACAGUGAGAGCUGAAAGUUUCCCUUUCUAGAGCCACAAGCUGCACUUCUAGAUUUGCACUGGGGUAUGAACUGGACUGAGCUCUCUGGGGGAUCCUCCGGGUUCUAACAUUGCCACCUGGUAGGUAAUCCUUUCAGAAGUGAGUACCUGUCCCCACUCCAGCUAAUGCAGACGGUCAGCACUGGAGACCACACAAGACCACAGCAGCUGGGAGACAGGUGAGAGAUUUACCAGGACAGGGAGCUACCUGAGUGUGUUCCUGAAGUUUUCCCAGGUGUAUCAGCUGCAGGUAUCUUUUUCCUAACCAGGUCCAUCACAAUUUUCUCCAUAAAGUUUUGUACCUUUCACACACAUACACACACACACACACCCCACCCCAUCCCAUACAAAAAGUUUAAAGAAGUUUCUGGCAUGAAAAUAUGCCCUCUUCUAGCUGAGACAGAGCACUUACUAGCACUGGAUCCCAUCCCACUCAACUUGCCUGCUGCAAACAUGGCGGCAAUACACAUCCUUUAGUCUGCUGCAAGGAGGUUCUGAAGAAAGCAGUCGCCCUUUACUAUUCGGUAAAGUCGUGUUAUAUUUUUAACGCACUGGAUUAAUCAGUCAAAUCUCAGACAUGACAGCAGGCUUCAUAAUCUUUUUUUCCUUUGUUAUUCUUAGCUCAACUUCCACAGCUGAGUAAGAAGUUUUUCACAUACUUACAAGAGUGUUAAAAAUUUUAUUCCUUCUCAGCAGGAGAGAGUUGGCCCUUCUUGUGACUUUGUCUCUGAUUCUUGGGCAAGUUGGCUUGGGAAUGCUACUGGGGAAAAACUCACUAAUCUUUCAUCAUCAUGAAAAAGCAACAAACAGAACAGGAACUCAAGUGAUUCAAAAUAAAAGGAAGGAGCCUGUCUAAAACAGUGGCAUGUUCAAGUAACAGACAAUCUUAAAUAAUGCAGCAAUUUUGUUACUCUGUCCAUUCUGUAUCCAAAAGAAUCUUCCAAAAUUAUAAUAAAUAAAAUGAUAUGGUCAACACUUUGCAACGUGCCAUUAUCAGCCUAUAUUACUCAAUGAGACACUAACCACAUGUU
This 1858-nucleotide long non-coding RNA is filed under the name Homo sapiens (human). Its description in RNAcentral is "HSALNT0074677". Lineage: Eukaryota; Metazoa; Chordata; Mammalia; Primates; Hominidae. The record is from RNAcentral.